GUGUGACUGUAAAAAGAAAAAAAAAAAGAUUAAUAACCUUUCUACUACUUUAUUACUGAAGUGGAUCUUGAGAAACAUGGUGAUAAUGGUAACAGCCUAAUGUUAGGAGAAUAAUUCUCUUUUAAAAAUUAAUCAAAAGCAAGAAAGACCUGAAGUUACUCUCACAUAUUGACAUUGCUAUAAUACUUUCUUAAAUAGGAGAGAAAAAUGAUGGCAAUAUAACUAACAUGUACAUUAAUAGAUACAUUAAUGAAAUUUAUUUUUCAUAGAUAACAAAUAUCUACCAUUAUUUGUUUUAUGCUAGAAAAAGAUAAAAAAUGGUGUCUAUAUCUAAGUAAUAAGAUAAAUGUGGCUUGUUCUGAGUCUUUUAAGGCUGAAACCCCCAUCCCAAUAAUGACUACUGGCUCAGCCUUCCUCAGAGUAAUAUUACAGGCAAUAUACUAAUAAUGCCCCAGGCUCCACUCAACCUGAACCAGCAUUAUUAGUAUACACUGACACUUACACCAUGCUCAACUCACACACUUAGAGUCACAGCCUCAGCCAAUCCUGGAGUUUUCUCACAUUCCUGGCUCUCAGUUUCCCAACACAUUUCAUUUUGCCACCCAACCCCAAUACCAGCUUGUAUAUCAAUUUCCUUCCCUAAUUACUUUGCCCUUUAGAAUGAACUUUUAUUCUUUUAAAAAUAAUUCUUUCAGCAUUUGGAAAGAAUAGCAUGGCAUAUGCUUUAUGGUUUAAGGGAUUUAUAAGCAAUAAAAUUUACUUUUUAAAACACAUCGCAAGAACCGUGUGAGCAUUUAGUUACCUCAUCUCCUCGGCCAUGUGGAGAAAGCCCAAGAUAAAUGCCACUUUUAUCAUUUAAUAUGAAUGCUCACAUAUGUUCUAAAUAAAUGCCAGAAGUCAGAUAUUAGUUAUUUUUUAAAGGAUAACUGAUAUUUAGUUUCAGGAGCUAAGAACCAAUGCCUAGCUGUCACAAAAAUUUGACUCGUAAUUCAAGGAUUACUGUUCCUAAAACAAUGAGUUGUCAAGUUCUAGAUAGUUUUUGCCAAGACUCUAAUUAUCCCAUGUUUAGGAAAGAUGAUUUCUUUCAAUUCCAUGAAGAAACAAAGUUUCUCAAGACAAGACUCAAACACAUUCCAGGAUAGUGAUUCACAUUCAAUUGGAAAUAUGAUAUUUAACAAGAGCUAGUCUCAAUGUUAAUAAAUUGGCUAACCUAGAAAAAAAUGAAGAAAUUCUUAGAAACAUACAACCUACCAAGACUGAAUCAUGAAGAGACAGAAAACCUGAACAGACCAAUAAUAAGUAAGGGUAUUGAAUCAGUAAUCAAAACCCUCCCCUCAAAGAAAAUCUCAGCACAGAUGGUUUCACUGGUGAAUUCUAGUCAACAUUUAAAGAAGAAUUAAUGCCAGUCUUUCUCAAACAUCAUCAGUCAUCAUCAGGGAAAUGCACAUCAAGCCUGCAGUGUAGUAUCACUUCACAUAUCACUUUGGUGAUAGGAGGACAUCAUCAAAAAGACAAGAGAUAACAAGUGUUCAUCAUGGCCUUGCCCCAUAUACCUGGGUUAGGAAAAGACCUGGCAGAAUCAAGUCAAUCAAUAUAUAUAUUUAAAUAAAAAGAAAGAUUGGAGAUGGUAGAUAGGGAGAGAGAUUUGGUAAUGAUUCUUGGGAGUUUUCCCUAACUACACUAAUUCAGAGAGUUUAAUUUUUUUCUAUGAUUCCCUGAAACAUUUCUGUACAUAUGAAUUCCAUUUUUUCCCUUUCACAUACCAUAUCAUACACCUCUCUAUUCUUGGAUAUAUACUUUCCUAGGACCUACAACUUAAAUUUACAUUUAGGAAGUGAUUGACAUAUGUUCAUAAUGUAGAUUAAGAAAAAUAAUAAAUUUAUUGAGGUGCGCUUAUUUCAAAAGGGUCCUAAGAAGUUAUUUCAUACCUACUUCAUCCAAACUUCUGUGUUUGUGCAUGCAUAGAACACUGAUGCUCCUAUUGGUGCACCUGAUAGGGGUUUGCCAAGAACACAGAAAGUAAAUAUUUAAGAGUUUGCAUAUUCACAGGUUUAAUGUUUUAAUGUAACUACCUCGCCAACUCUCUUUGUAUCAGAAUUUCAGUUUGGGGUUGGCAAGUUAUGGAUGUCUAAUUUUCCACUUCACAAUAAUGCUAAAGAUUUCUGUACUUUGGUACUGAAUAAAUUGAAGACAUUUGCAGAUUCCAAACUUAAUUUAACUAUGUGAAGAAGGUAAAAGAAGGAAAUGACUAUAUUAAAGGAGUUGGCAUAAGCAUGCUAUGUUUUUUCCUUCAAGAGAGCCACGUCUCUCUAUAAGGAGCUAAAGAAUUUGUUCAUAUCCAACUGGAUGUGAUAUCACAGAGCAGGUAGUAUGGACAAAUCUGAAUGCAAGUACCUUUCUUAUAUUAAAUUUAUUAAAGACUACUCAUGCUUUGAAAGUUAUUUUUUCUGAGAUUAUUAGUUUCUUCUUUAAUGUCUGUCUCUUUUAUCAUUUCUUAAAGAUGAAGUGAAAACUAUUUUCAAAAUAGUUCUUAUGCCUUCAUACCAGAAUACUUAUUGAAUAAAUCUCAUAGUGUCUCAUUCUUGGUGACAUUAUAAUUGUCUGACAUUUGAGAUGUACAUUUUUAUGUCACUGAGGAAGUCUCAGUGGGGAUAAUUAAUAGAAAAAUUAUUCCAUUUUAGUAAGAACGUUUUUUUCUUUCCUUUAGUUGAGGACUUUUUCUGAUUAAUAAUUCUCUCUGAACAAAAAUAUUUUUUAAUAUAAUCAUAGUUUUUUUUUCUUAUUUUUUUCACCCUAAGCAACUAAGAGACAGUGAUUAUGUUGACUGGAAUUUAAGGUCUGUUAUAAUUAUAUGCUUAACUGCUGUGAAUGACAAUAUAAACUCUAUUAUAGUGCUAAGGAAUUAUUUUCAGUCCUGAUAAAAUACUGCUCAUGUUAAUAUACCUGAUGCUUUACAAUUUGUUAACUGUCACAGUCUUCAUUUUUCUUCAGGUGUUGCUGUUGUGUUGCACUGUAAGUAUGGAGAUUCUCUUUGUCACUUGCUUGAUUAAAAUAAUGGAACACAUACAGUGAAAAGACUCUUCCAAUUCACUUCACUCAUUAGCAUAUCUUCCUUUUACAAGUAUAGUUCCUCCAGGAACUUCACAAAGAAUAUUAGUCUGUGUGUUUUCAGAGGUGAUUUACAAAACUCAUUAAAGAUAUGGAAAUUAUUUUAGAAACUAUCUAAAUUGAAUUUAGGAGUGGCGAUAAAUCCUAUAUGUGAUUCCAAGCAGUAUACAUAUCAUGUGAAGUAAAACUCUUUGGUAAAUAGAGAAAAAUAAGCCUGAUUUUAAAAAGCAGACAGCAUUUCAACUGUUUUUCAUCAUGUUUGUAAAUUUGGAUUCAGAAAACAUGAACAUCUUACUUGGAAAAGAGAAUGUGGAAAAGCGCAUGAGGUUUUCAGUUAGUGGACUAGUUGUAUGUAUAUAACUAUAUACAGAGGAGAGUAAAUCAUAUACAGCAAAGUGUGUAAUACAUGGUCCAUGGACCUCAUCUUUGAGAAAGUUCAAAUUAUUCUGCACUCUCAGAAUAAUUUUUUUGUCCUAAUGGCUGCACACGCAGUGUAUGGAAGUUCCCAGGCCAGGGAUUAAAUCUGAGCGGUAGCUGCAACCUACACCAUAGCUGUAGUAACACCAGAUCCUUUAAACCACUGUGCCAGGCCAGGGAUCAAACCCAUGUCUCCAGGGUGACCCAAACCACUGCAGUCAAAUUCUUAACCCACUGAACCAUGGUGGGAACUCCAGAAAUUUUUAAUAAUUCUCUCUAGAAAGAGAAUGUAAAAGUGUGAUCUUUGCAGAAUUAUAUUGAGAAUAUACCUUAGCAGUACAGGCUUCUUUAAGUGUGAUAGUCAUUGAGUAUGUUAAAGAAACACUAAAAAAAUAUGAAAGGCUUAUGCUUAAAUCACCGAAGCCUCCUGCAUUCUAGUUAAAACCUUAUUGUUCUGAAUACUCAAGAUUCAUAUUUUUGGUCAAUCCCAUGAAAACACUUGCUGAUAAAUACUUGGUUAUUUGUGUGAACACUUUUGUUCUUGAUUCCAAAGACAAUCUUUUUCAUUAUAAGUUGAAAAAAAUGUUUCCGUUAUGCAAGACAGACAACUUCUAGAGAUCCACUGUACAAUAUUGUUCCUAUUCUUAACAUUAUUUUAGGGUAUGCUUAAUCUUUGAGUGUAGAUCUCAUGUUAAGUGUUCUUAAUGCAAUUUUUAAAAUGUAAAAAAUACAUGUUUUCCAGGGACUUCCCUUCGUGGCUCAGUGGUUAACAAAUCCGACUAGGAACCAUGAGGUUGCGGGUUCAAUCCCUGGCCUUGCUCAGUGGGUUAAGGAUCUGGCCUUGCCGUGAGCUGUGGUGUAGUCAUUGCUUUGAUCUGAUUUGCAUGCAGCUUGAGCUUCCAUUUUCAUUCAUACAGUUAAACUUAAAUCACUUCCUCUUAUUCUUCUUGAAUAUGUUAAAAUAGAAGCAUCCCAGAAAACACUACCAUAGACUCCUCUUUUGUAAGCAUGUGCCUCCUGAGCAGAAUGAGUGUCUUAAAAACAUUUAUAUUUCAGGCCACCAGCGUAAUGCCCAGUUUGCUAUGGUAUUAAAAAAUAUGCUGACGUGAUAGUGGAGUACUUUUAAAAAUUAUUUUGUUAUAAAUUUGUUACAACAGAUGAAGUUCCAAGUUGAUAUCUUGUUUCUGAUGGUUCAGGCUUUUCCGGAGAAAUCCUCAUAGAUUUUCUUUCACCUCUCAAAUUAUCAUCCUUAGUCGGUAUUGAUUAAGUUUCUUUUUUAGCUGUUUCCUUGUACAUGCUGCACAAAGCAAGUGCAAUCCGUACAGUUUCUUCUCUUAAAGAGCCUUACACCUAAGAACACACCAAUGAUCACAUCUUAAGGGAUUCAGAGCAACACAUUUUUCAUCCCAGAGAAAGGAUAUCGUGAUGCUCAAGAGGGAGGACGGCAGAAGAUUGAAUGGGGGAUUCAUGGCCUCCCUGGCUUUGGGUCUUUAUAGAACUCCGCGAAAGUAAAUGUCUUUGUGAAGAGCCAGAGAAUAUAGUGUUGUUUGCUU
RNAcentral lists this long non-coding RNA (5078 nucleotides) under Sus scrofa (pig). Its description in RNAcentral is "lncRNA (ENSSSCG00065014296.1)". The record is from RNAcentral. Lineage: Eukaryota; Metazoa; Chordata; Mammalia; Artiodactyla; Suidae.